UAUGACGCGUGUAGUGCCGCAAGGGAGCCUACUAAGAUACAUUAGUCGGCGUUCUUGAGACAGUAAAAAGAAAAAAAAGAAAAAAAAGAACACCUAUGAAGAGAAAGCGACCAGAGACUUUGCUGAUGCCCUGUCAUUACGGGAAGUUGACAUUUUUCCAUCCUUUGAAACGAUGUUGUUCGUGAGAUGGUCUUGCUUUUUAUCAUCGUCGGAUGGUCCUCCUGCUUAUCCCGUGAACCUGCACUGUUCCAUUCACUUGUGCCAGCCUCAAGCAUGAGCGAAGCCUAUUUCUGCGAUGCGCCAGCCGCGAUACCGGCCUUUUUGCUCAACGUUUCCUUCGGCCUCCCAGCCACAUCGACACAGCCAUCACCAGGAAAGGCUGAUUUAAGCUGCCGACCCAUCGACCUACACUUCAGUGCACACGGGAACAAUGCUUGUGGCACCACGCCUAAUCGUCUUGUUUUCACCAUGCAGGAUGCCCUGCUGCGUCGACGUUUCCUGAUGCUUCCGGUGAAGCCACACCUCACCCGGUCGAGAUCGUAUUAACUGGUUGGCAGCAAUGGGAUACUCUCCCCCCCCCCCUUCGUACUGGCUUCAGCAGAAUGAAGGUGUCACCAGGCAGGCUUUGGAACGAUCGGCGAAACGAAGCAGAGGCACGAGGUUUACCGGUCUCUUCGAGGUGCUUGCAUACUGCAACCCCUUCGAGACAUCCUGUGGUGGCGGACGGGCUAUUAUAAUCGACUUAAGUUUCCCAAGAAGCCAUCGACUACCACAUCUGGCGACGGGGGGAUGCCCCAUCAGCAACACGCAGCUGUCACGCUUGAUGUUCACGCCUCAUCCUUCACUUCGCUUCAAGACAGCAACGUCGCCCUCCUGACCGUCACGGAGUGGCCAAUUAUCGAGGAAAGGUCCUCGUCGAGAACUCCCGGGGGAAAGCAUCGAUGGCAGGCGGGUUGCCUCCUAUUGUGACCCGUUGGAGACAGGUGCACCACGUACACGAGUAACUCGUUGAAGACAUGAGCACCCCGAGCAGCACGCUGACGACCGGUGAGGAGCGAUAAAGGUGGUGAACGAUUCGACGUUUGUGUUUGGCCAGCGGACUCCUUCAACGAAGGAAAGAGAGGUUAUUUAAGGCCGUCCUGGCUUCCGUGUUAGAUCAGAACCGCUCGAGACUCGGAUAAGAGUCAUAACCAUGGACCAACGAAGUGAAUACAUUCCUUUCUACUUUUUUCAUCAUCACGA
Dermacentor albipictus is the source of this 1242-nucleotide long non-coding RNA. RefSeq lists it as uncharacterized. Lineage: Eukaryota; Metazoa; Arthropoda; Arachnida; Ixodida; Ixodidae. The record is from RefSeq and is a predicted model, not a curated record.